Molecule: ribosomal RNA, 380 nt
Filed under: uncultured bacterium
Lineage: Bacteria
Description: bacterial SSU rRNA
Rfam family: Bacterial small subunit ribosomal RNA
Source: RNAcentral
AACGAACGCUGGCGGCAUGCUUAACACAUGCAAGUCGAACGGUUUUAUGGUGCUUGCACCAUGGAAUAGUGGCAGACGGGUGAGUAACGCGUGGGAACGUACCUUAAGGUUCGGAAUAACUGUUGGAAACGGCAGCUAAUACUGGAUGUGCCCGAGAGGGGAAAGAUUUAUUGCCUUAAGAGCGGCCCGCGUUAGAUUAGGUAGUUGGUAGGGUAAAGGCCUACCAAGCCGAUGAUCUAUAGCUGGUUUGAGAAGAUGAUCAGCCACACUGGGACUGAGACACGGUCCAGACUCCUACGGGAGGCAGCAGUGGGGAAUUUUGGACAAUGGGGGCAACCCUGAUCCAGCAAUGCCGCGUGAGUGAAGAAGGCCUUCGGGUU